UACUGCCGCGCUUGAGUUACUUCAGGUGCCUCUUGAACAGGCGCGGAGUUGAGGCUGCUCCAGUCAAGAACAUGUAUGCUCGUAGUCCUCCCACCGGUCCAGGAUCGUGUUAUGACCAAUAAAAUUCAUGUUACGAAUCUUGUGGUCUGUUUUAACUUUGUGCAUCCAACAUAUCUACUUGCCUGGAAUAAAAUUUGUGCCAUUGCAGAUCUCAUAUUUUCCUGUCAUCUAUCCUUG
RNAcentral lists this unclassified non-coding RNA (237 nucleotides) under Hevea brasiliensis (rubber tree). Lineage: Eukaryota; Viridiplantae; Streptophyta; Magnoliopsida; Malpighiales; Euphorbiaceae. The record is from RNAcentral.